This 448-nucleotide ribosomal RNA is filed under the name uncultured bacterium. RNAcentral's name for it is "partial 16S ribosomal RNA". It matches the Rfam family "Bacterial small subunit ribosomal RNA", at positions 29 to 523 of the family's 1533-position model. The record is from RNAcentral.
AACGAACGCUGGCGGCAGGCCUAAUACAUGCAAGUCGAGCGCUCUAGCAAUAGAGAGCGGCGCACGCGUGCGUAACGCGUGGGAAUAUGCCUUUAGGUACGGAACCACAAAGGGAAACUUUGGCUAAUACCGUAUAAUAUCGUCGGAUCAAAGAAUUUCGCCUAAAGAUUAGCCCGCGUCUGAUUAGCUAGUUGGUGGGGUAAAGGCCUACCAAGGCGACGAUCAGUAGCUGGUCUUAGUGGAUGAUCAGCCACACUGGAACUGAGACUCGGUCCAGACUCCUACGGGAGGCAGCAGUAAGGAAUAUUGGACAAUGGGGGCAACCCUGAUCCAGCCAUGCCGCGUGAGUGACGAAGGCCUUAGGGUUGUAAAGCUCUUUUGGUGGAGAAGAUAAUGACGGUAUCCACAGAAUAAGCCCCGGCUAAAUUCGUGCCAGCCGCCGCGGUAA